This 491-nucleotide ribosomal RNA is filed under the name uncultured bacterium. RNAcentral's name for it is "SSU rRNA". It matches the Rfam family "Bacterial small subunit ribosomal RNA", at positions 26 to 523 of the family's 1533-position model. The record is from RNAcentral.
AGAGCGAACGCUGGCGGCGUGCUUAACACAUGCAAGUCGAACGAGGUCUGUAGCAAUACAGAUACUCGUGGCGAACGGGUGCGUAACACGUGGAUAACCUUCCUUCAGGUGGGGAAUAACCCAGUGAAAAUUGGGCUAAUACCGCAUAACAUGACGAUGCCACAUGGUGUUGUCUUCAAAGGCGCAAGUCGCCAGAAGAGGGAUCCGCGGCCGAUUAGCUAGUUGGCGAGGUAAUGGCUCACCAAGGCAAUGAUCGGUAGCCGGACUGAGAGGUUGGCCGGCCACACUGGAACUGAGACACGGUCCAGACUCCUACGGGAGGCAGCAGUGGGGAAUCUUGCACAAUGGACGAAAGUCUGAUGCAGCAACGCCGCGUGGGGGAUGAAGCUUUUCGGAGUGUAAACCCCUUUCGACCCGGAAGAAAGCCCGCAAGGGUUUGACGGUACGGGUAUAAGAAGCCCCGGCUAACUACGUGCCAGCAGCCGCGGUAA